RNAcentral lists this long non-coding RNA (347 nucleotides) under Lathyrus oleraceus (garden pea). Its description in RNAcentral is "Pisum sativum (pea) long non-coding RNA (PSAT_LNC032063)". The record is from RNAcentral. Lineage: Eukaryota; Viridiplantae; Streptophyta; Magnoliopsida; Fabales; Fabaceae.
CCCUCACUAGCAUGUUGAUGCCUUCCUCGCAUGAUGGAUUGUUGGUUUAGGUUGAGUUUUCUCCCUUUGAUAACAAAAGACCUUAAGGCUUUUGAUUAAAAUCAAUUCACCAAUCUUUGAAAUUUUUUACCAUGAACUACGAUGUUUUGAUCCUCCUUUGUAAUGGUACGUAGGCAAUGGGUUCAUCCACUCAAACAAUAAAAUUUAUAAAUAUAAUCUAUUCUCUUCUCAUCCCUCCAAUCUUUUGCACAAAUCUUUUCACAAAUACCAAUCUACAACACAUAUUUGCAAAAAGGGUUCCCUUAGAGUACUAAGGAUGUUUUGGGUGCGUAAAACCUUCCCAUUUC